RNAcentral lists this transfer RNA (68 nucleotides) under Ictidomys tridecemlineatus (thirteen-lined ground squirrel). RNAcentral describes it as "Spermophilus tridecemlineatus (thirteen-lined ground squirrel) tRNA". It matches the Rfam family "tRNA". Rfam says of the family: Transfer RNA (tRNA) molecules are approximately 80 nucleotides in length. Their secondary structure includes four short double-helical elements and three loops (D, anti-codon, and T loops). Further hydrogen bonds mediate the characteristic L-shaped molecular structure. tRNAs have two regions of fundamental functional importance: the anti-codon, which is responsible for specific mRNA codon recognition, and the 3' end, to which the tRNAs corresponding amino acid is attached (by aminoacyl-tRNA synthetases). tRNAs cope with the degeneracy of the genetic code in two manners: having more than one tRNA (with a specific anti-codon) for a particular amino acid; and 'wobble' base-pairing, i.e. permitting non-standard base-pairing at the 3rd anti-codon position. Lineage: Eukaryota; Metazoa; Chordata; Mammalia; Rodentia; Sciuridae. The record is from Rfam by way of RNAcentral.
GGAGCUGUGGCUCAGUGGUAGAGUGUGCGCCUAGCAUGUGCAAGGCCCUGGUUCAACCCUCUGCACCA